ACAAUUUGUUCUUGCUUUUUAAAGUAUGCUCAAAUGUGGGUUUUUUUGUAUUGCUGUCACCAGGGAUAAAUGUGAACGUAUGGAAGAGAAGGAACAUUUAUUCUCAAGAUUGCAUUUGCUAGGAGUGAGUUGGAUGUAUUCAAUUUUAUCUUUUUGUGUUGAUGGUGGCUAAAAGCAUGAGAUCUUUCUUCACUGACAAGUUGAAGAGAAACAAAAGGGAUAUUCAAAUAUCCAUGGAGAAUUUUCCUUUGGGACUCUGAUGCACAUCAGCACAUUGUUCUCCUUCAUGUGGAAGCCCUGGGUAACAAAAGGAAGGGUAAACGUUUUGAGAACAAUGGCUGAAAGACUUGGAACCAAGCUGAUGGAGCAAAAAGCAAAAUCCAUCUUCAGCCCUCCCAAGGAGACUGGAAGAGGGGUGGUGAUGGAAGAGAGAGCUGAUGUAUCAGGGGAAGAGGAGGAGAUGCAGUAAAAGAAUUAGCAAACAGACCUGAAAUGUUAUUGCAUUCCUCAAGAUGUGAUGACGUAUAUUUAAUAUGCAUUUCUAGCAAAAAGAAAAAUGAAAAAUUGAAGGCCACUCAUCUAAACAUGGAAAGGAAACAGUCUAGAAAAGAGAAGUUCAGGUGGGACUGAGUGAGGUUUGAGGAAGCCUUGAAUGCAAGGCAUAACUGGUGGAAGCUGCUAAUGAAAACGGUGGCAGGAGGAUGGCUUGCAAAUGGCUGAGGUGAGUUGCACCAACAGACCAGUGCCACUGAAAUCAGGCCUUGCUGUCCCUAAAAAACACUUUUGUGUCAAACUGUGAAUGGUGGUUACUGGAGUGAAGGGAAAGCAACCAGCUGGAUGAACAUUUGCUUCUCCAGAGGGCAAGACUCUAAAAUUGUAUCGGUUUAGUUAUACAACAGACCUGAAAUGUUAUUGCAUUCCUCAAGAUGUGAUGACGUAUAUUUAAUAUGCAUUUCUAGCAAAAAGAAAAAUGAAAAAUUGAAGGCCACUCAUCUAAACAUGGAAAGGAAACAGUCUAGAAAAGAGAAGUUCAGGUGGGACUGAGUGAGGUUUGAGGAAGCCUUGAAUGCAAGGCAUAACUGGUGGAAGCUGCUAAUGAAAACGGUGGCAGGAGGAUGGCUUGCAAAUGGCUGAGGUGAGUUGCACCAACAGACCAGUGCCACUGAAAUCGGGCCUUGCUGUCCCUAAAAAACACUUUUGUGUCAAACUGUGAAUGGUGGUUACUGGAGUGAAGGGAAAGCAACCAGCUGGAUGAACAUUUGCUUCUCCAGAGGGCAAGACUCUAAAAUUGUAUCGGUUUUUAGGAAUUAAUUAUUGUGUUCUGUUCACUUGCCUGGUGUUCUCUUUUUUAAUUAAAUAUUGAAAUGUGUAACUGUUUUACUUAAAGUUGUAGAUGGCAGAAGUGGUUGCUGUGAGUGCAAUUAAUAUAAUUUCUCCAGCUCUCUGCAUAGGUCUUCAAGCAAGCGUUUACCUAGGAAGUGCCUUAAAUUUGAAUGUAUCUGUGCUCUUGUCAGCUGAAUCACGGCAGGAAGGUUACACUGAAAAGUGAUUUGGAUGUUCAGUUGGCUGAAGGAGUGACGUAUUGAUUCCCUGGAAUAGCAAGUAUAAAUAAUGCAUAUAAAUGCAUCAGAUCCAAUGCUGAAUUAAGGCUCGGUUGCUGCUUGUGAUUUUGAAGGAAGGAGAGGCAAUCUGGAUUUCAAAGGCAUGCAUAUUUCCAUGCACAUUUCUAAACACAAGAUCAGCUGAGACUUUUACAUGUUUAUAUUCUGUGUAGGGAAAGGUAACAGUAGUUAAACAUGGAAUAAAAGACUUUUUCCUUUUUUUCUUUUAU
Molecule: long non-coding RNA, 1831 nt
Organism: Ficedula albicollis (Collared flycatcher)
Lineage: Eukaryota; Metazoa; Chordata; Aves; Passeriformes; Muscicapidae
Source: Ensembl